CAGAUGUCAUGAAUUGCAUGGCCCCAGGAUGGCCUAAAGGAAAAACUUGUCCCAGUUGCAACAGAAGUUUUGGAAUUUAGUAGGAACCUUUAAUAAGGUUCCUUGUUAAUCCAGCAGCAAAAUCCUUUCCCUCCUGCGCUCUGUGACCAAGACAGAGAAUAAGUAUUCUGGGCUGGAAGACCUACAAAAAGAGGCCUGGUUUUACAGACCCUGGUUUCAGGCCCCUAGAAAGGGAUUGCUUCAAGCUGUAAGAAGUCCAACCACUCCUUGUUUAACCUCUUCACUCUGUCCAGAGCUUUCUGAUGCCUCCGGCUGCUGUGUUCAUGCCCUUCCCCAGCCAAAAUGGAGCCAGGUGGAGAGAAAGUGAGGCUGUAGACCCAGAGAACUCCCUCUUACAGGGUUUGGAGAGCAGAGAAAGUAUCAGAGAAAAGCAGGAGCAUCUCUUCCUUGGUCUGUUUUGCACCCUUUUGCUCCUAUUGUAUGAAUAUUCUUAUCCUAUGUCCUGAUAAAAAUGUGUUAUUUUGAAACCUUUUGCUGGUAACAGCAAAACCUUUUGCUGGUAACAAAACCAGUUAUGUCCUGCUCAUGCUUUCUAAUGACAUGGUUCGAAACCUUGUAUGUGGACACACUCCGACCUUAACUGGUACUCAGACUGUGGUCUUCCAUGAAAACACAUAGCUGUCACUUGAAUCACGGAAU
Molecule: long non-coding RNA, 699 nt
Filed under: Anas platyrhynchos platyrhynchos (common mallard)
Lineage: Eukaryota; Metazoa; Chordata; Aves; Anseriformes; Anatidae
Description: lncRNA (ENSAPLG00000023422.1)
Source: RNAcentral